CAAGAGCUCAGCCUGUUGGGUUGGUUUCGUUUGCUUGUCUGUUUUUGUUGUUAUUUGGUUGGUUUGUGUUUUUGUUUUGUUUUGUCUUGCUUUGAGAUUUGAGCUGCCCUCAUGUGAGAACAAGGAUUUCCUACCCAGGCGGAGAUUUUCCUACCCAGAACAGUGAGGAGGUUAGUGUGUGAUCCAUACAGGAGCAGAAGGCCACAGCAGGUUUAGCACAGAUCCCAGACUUGCCUGUUAUCACUUCUUCACAUUUUCUUCUUACCCCUCUGGAGGUCAUGAAAGGAGGACAGUGCUAUUUGCAUGCCCUGAGCAAUCAGAUUCUGCUACAUGUGAGUUUUCUGAAGAAUGUUAUCUUGCUGUUUUUAGCUUCUCUUCACUUCCUCCAUUGAACAGAGCUUUGAGGAUGCUCUACCUCAUCUCAGUCUCCCAGUCUUGCCUAAAGAGAGGGAUUUAACUGGCUAUGUAACACCUCAGGCUAUCGUACUGGAGAGGCUUCAUCAAGAACCUCUUUGUACCAUGCACAGUAUUCAUCCAACUUGGCCUCUCUCAGUGGAGAUCAUCCAAGACAGCCUCGCCUGUUUCAAAAGUGACUCAACUUCCCAACCAACUUCUUCUCUGGCUUUGCUUCCAAAGUCUUCAGGAUGCUUUGAAGUGCAGACAAAUAUGCAACUGGACAGAGUCUGACCUAAUGUCCUUCCUUCUUCAAAAGGGUAGGCUGAUAGAAACAGUUUUCCUAAGGCUAUAGUUCAGCAUAGUGCAAGUUCCAGCCUCAUAAUGACACCAACAUUUUAGGUCUGUCUUGCCAGUGCUCCUUUAAAUUAUGCAUACUCUUGCUUACAGACUCACUGCCGCUCUUCAAAUAUUCAAGGGUUCCUUACAUUUAAUUUCGGGUGGUUUACUCUCUUCAGGGAGGAGGCAGUGUUUUAAAAAGAAAUUGCUGAUGGGAAAAAUACUGCUUACAUGACUUGCAGCAAGCAGCAAUUUGAGUUCUUAAGAACACGCGUGACUUGGACAUGUAAACUUUACUCAUUUUCACUUCAAGGGCACAUGUGACAUACAACACUGCUUUCUCAUCCAGUAACAUUAUCUAAGCUUAAUGGUUAAUGUCAAGUUUUUAUUAACGUUUAUAACUGCAUUGGGAGAUUAAUUUGUUUACUUGUAUUAUGCAAAACUGAUUUAAGAUUGUGGUUUGCAUUUACACACAUUUACAUAGUGUUUCCUGAUUAAUGCAUCAUAAUACACUCAAAUCAAGUGUAAAUUGCAGGCUCACAUCUGCAACAUAAACUUCAUCCUGUGCAAUGUCAUAUUUGACUUGUCUGGCAAAAGUUUUCCAUCAGUUUGCAGCUGGAAUCAUGAUAUGGUGCAGAAGGAGGGAAGCAGAGGGAUCAGAGAUGGCUUUUCUGUGGAGAAGUCUUUCCUUAGCACCUGUUACUUGCUGAUACCUUACAGGCCUGAAACAGAAGAGGAGGAUGCCAAGGAUAGCUGGCAACAGGAUGAAUUUCAUGUAAUGUUGUGGCCCUGGGGCCAUGCUGCUGUGAGCAAGCAAAUUAGGUGACUUGGGGCUUGGGAUGACAUGGGUGAGCAGUGACAGUAGUGAGUGGGAGGGAAAGGCGUGAGGAACAUUGCUGCCCAUCAUGGCCUUGUUAGCUUGGUCUUGGCCCUCCCAGAAGGACUCUGUUCCUCAGAAUACCUCUGGUUGGAAGCACAAGACUGGCCUGUUGGCAAGGGGGGGGCAGUAGAGGGUUCAGAGAAAAGAACAGCAGUGACCACCAUGCGCCUGUUGGGGGGCCGAGACGGGGACCAAGAAAGGCAGCACCCUUGCACUGAACAUAGUAGCAAGGGGACACUGUGGAUACUUCCCCAGUGUAGCGUCUUCCUAAGGGAAAGCAUGGUCGAACUCAGGCUUGCCUCAUCUCUCCGAGGCCCUAAUCCUAUUAUCCUUCCUCCACCAGUCACCACCUCAUCCUUCUCUUCCCUACACCCUCACCCCCCUCCGGUUCUUCUUUCUGUAAAUAACUCUUUCUGACUUUGGACAAGCAGGGAUCAACAGAUUCUGGAGGGGGGCAGAGAAGACACUUGUUUUGUUCUGUUUUCCUUUCUCUCUUGAAUUUUGGUGUUUGAACUUGAAAAAAAAAAUAAUAUAUAUAAAUAUAUAAAUAUAUAUAUUUAAGGAAAUGGAUUUCCUGGAAAACUAUGAAAGGAG
Long non-coding RNA from Gallus gallus (chicken), 2206 nucleotides. The record is from Ensembl. NCBI's taxonomy places the organism in Eukaryota, Metazoa, Chordata, Aves, Galliformes, Phasianidae.